Molecule: ribosomal RNA, 254 nt
Filed under: uncultured bacterium
Lineage: Bacteria
Description: partial 16S ribosomal RNA
Rfam family: Bacterial small subunit ribosomal RNA
Source: RNAcentral
UACAGAGGGUGCAAGCGUUGUUCGGAAUUAUUGGGCGUAAAGCGCGUGUAGGCGGCUUUGCAAGUCGGGUGUGAAAUCCCUCAGCUUAACUGAGGAAGUGCGCCCGAAACUGCAGAGCUUGAGUACCGGAGAGGGUGGCGGAAUUCCCCAAGUAGAGGUGAAAUUCGUAGAUAUGGGGAGGAACACCGGUGGCGAAGGCGGCCACCUGGACGGUAACUGACGCUGAGACGCGAAAGCGUGGGGAGCAAACAGGG